Long non-coding RNA from Pezoporus flaviventris, 1320 nucleotides. RefSeq lists it as uncharacterized. The record is from RefSeq and is a predicted model, not a curated record. The transcript is spliced from 2 exons. NCBI's taxonomy places the organism in Eukaryota, Metazoa, Chordata, Aves, Psittaciformes, Psittacidae.
UUGAAAUGGAAUUAAACCUGCCUGUGUUAAAGGGGAUUAAAAGGAGGGAGAUCGUGCGCUCCGCCACGUCCUGCCGCUGCGCAGCGGCUCCGCGAGGAGGGCAGGGCCGGGGGCGAGGACACGGGGAAGCAGCUUGGGAGCCAUUAACAAAAAUGACAGAGUCUCAGCAGUGCUUAUGGAGUCACUGCUGCUGCUGGGCGGGGGGGAGAGGGACCUCGGUACCUGGCUAAUGCGCUAUCGACCAAAUUAACCCAAUAGUGUAGCGCUCAUUAUUCUUAGCCUCGCUUGGCUGUUGCUAAGCCAUUUUCUGUUGUCACUCCUCUUAAUAAAAUCUGUGACUUGAAUAAAUUUCCCCAGCAACUUUGUAUUGGCACCACAUCUGCGGUAUCAGCUAAAGAUUGGCCUUUAUCUGUUCCUUACAAAACGCACCCUGAUUGAAGUUCCCUAUUGUAAUGCUUCGCCUCCUGGAAUUUCGUGUGGAGUAAGGCAGAUUAGCAUUAACAUUUUGUUUGUAUUGAUGGGCAAUCAGUUGUUCUUCUGAUAAUGCUCAAGAAAACAGAAGACAGAGGCGCUGGCAAACGCAAAUGAAAUGUGAUCAUCUUAUCUCGUAAUUACUUGGGUAAACAAGCGCUGGAAAAUGAAGACUGCAACAAACACCUCGCAAAGUCAAUCAAUGUUUCGUUAAAAACCCCAAAACAAGAAGGAACAGGAGCGGACCCCUUGCAAAUAUCCUGACCCAAACUUCGUUGUGAGCAGGUGCAGAGGGGAAGGAGCCGCAGCUUGGCUUCACAGCUGCGUGGAUGUGACACCCGCGUAAGGGACGUGGCACUGAGUGCCUGCACGCAGCGGGAACACGGGGAGGCUUUUCCCGGCAGGAUUUCCCGUAGGUGGAGAAAUUAACAUGCAGCAGAGCCCCUGGUCCAGAUGUUCAGGCAGCGUGAGCUGGAGUCAUCCCCUGGUGCCGGCGCGGGUUUACACCAGCAGCGAGUUAAGGCUACAAAGGCUCAGAGCCCUGUCGAUCUCUUGCAGCCUUUCAGAUAAUGCAAAGUAAGUAAAGAAAACCCCCAAACAAAAAUAAAAGCACCCCCCACUGAUGCUCACUGAACUUCCUUAUUCCCUUCCUGCCAGCGUGCUCCUCCAGCCCAGCGCCUGGGUUCCCAUAGCAUCAUCCCGUCCCUAUGUAAAUGUGCGCUCUCCCCGCUGCCUUUGAUCUACCUUGAUGUAUAUGCAGUUGCGAUUCUGUUCUGUUAAAUGCCUGCUCUUGUGCCUAGAGCAUCACAGGCCCUUUUGAAUCCCUCAAACAAGCUGGAAUCAUUUUGA